UGAUAAGAGCUUGCUCUUCGAUUCAGCGGCGGACGGGUGAGUAAUGCCUAGGAAUCUGCCUGGUAGUGGGGGACAACGUUUCGAAAGGAACGCUAAUACCGCAUACGUCCUACGGGAGAAAGCAGGGGACCUUCGGGCCUUGCGCUAUCAGAUGAGCCUAGGUCGGAUUAGCUAGUUGGUGAGGUAAUGGCUCACCAAGGCGACGAUCCGUAACUGGUCUGAGAGGAUGAUCAGUCACACUGGAACUGAGACACGGUCCAGACUCCUACGGGAGGCAGCAGUGGGGAAUAUUGGACAAUGGGCGAAAGCCUGAUCCAGCCAUGCCGCGUGUGUGAAGAAGGUCUUCGGAUUGUAAAGCACUUUAAGUUGGGAGGAAGGGCAUUAACCUAAUACGUUAGUGUUUUGACGUUACCGACAGAAUAAGCACCGGCUAACUCUGUGCCAGCAGCCGCGGUAAUA
Molecule: ribosomal RNA, 459 nt
Filed under: uncultured bacterium
Lineage: Bacteria
Description: bacterial SSU rRNA
Rfam family: Bacterial small subunit ribosomal RNA
Source: RNAcentral